GGGAGAUGGCUCAGUGGUUAAGAGCACUGGCUGCUCUUCCAGAGGUCCUGAGUUCAAUUCCCAGCACCCA
Molecule: transfer RNA, 70 nt
Organism: Neotoma lepida (desert woodrat)
Lineage: Eukaryota; Metazoa; Chordata; Mammalia; Rodentia; Cricetidae
Rfam family: tRNA
About the family: Transfer RNA (tRNA) molecules are approximately 80 nucleotides in length. Their secondary structure includes four short double-helical elements and three loops (D, anti-codon, and T loops). Further hydrogen bonds mediate the characteristic L-shaped molecular structure. tRNAs have two regions of fundamental functional importance: the anti-codon, which is responsible for specific mRNA codon recognition, and the 3' end, to which the tRNAs corresponding amino acid is attached (by aminoacyl-tRNA synthetases). tRNAs cope with the degeneracy of the genetic code in two manners: having more than one tRNA (with a specific anti-codon) for a particular amino acid; and 'wobble' base-pairing, i.e. permitting non-standard base-pairing at the 3rd anti-codon position.
Source: Rfam